This 97-nucleotide non-coding RNA is filed under the name human gut metagenome. Its description in RNAcentral is "SAM riboswitch (S box leader)". It matches the Rfam family "SAM riboswitch aptamer (S box leader)". From Rfam's summary of the family: The SAM riboswitch is found upstream of a number of genes which code for proteins involved in methionine or cysteine biosynthesis in Gram-positive bacteria. The SAM riboswitch acts at the level of transcription termination control. The record is from RNAcentral.
CUUAUCAAGAGUGGCGGAGGCACAGGACCUGUGAUGCCACGACAACCUACCGGUUUCCGGAAAGGUGCCAAUUCCUGCGACGCAGUCGAGAGAUGAG